GCCGGUAUCGCUCAGUUGGUAGAGCAGGGGACUCAAAAUC
RNAcentral lists this transfer RNA (40 nucleotides) under Cucurbita moschata (crookneck pumpkin). RNAcentral's name for it is "partial tRNA-Phe". The record is from RNAcentral. RNAcentral also lists the same sequence under 6 other names. Lineage: Eukaryota; Viridiplantae; Streptophyta; Magnoliopsida; Cucurbitales; Cucurbitaceae.